UGGGGAAUAUUGCACAAUGGGCGCAAGCCUGAUGCAGCGACGCCGCGUGAGGGAUGGAGGCCUUCGGGUUGUAAACCUCUUUUAUCAGGGAGCAAGGCUUCGGUUGAGUGUACCUGUUGAAUAAGCACCGGCUAACUACGUGCCAGCAGCCGCGGUAAUACGUAGGGUGCAAGCGUUAUCCGGAAUUAUUGGGCGUAAAGGGCUCGUAGGCGGUUCGUCGCGUCCGGUGUGAAAGUCCAUCGCGUAACGGUGGAUCCGCGCCGGGUACGGGCGGGCUUGAGUGCGGUAGGGGAGACUGGAAUUCCCGGUGUAACGGUGGAAUGUGUAGAUAUCGGGAAGAACACCAAUGGCGAAGGCAGGUCUCUGGGCCGUUACUGACGCUGAGGAGCGAAAGCGUGGGGAGCGAACA
This 409-nucleotide ribosomal RNA is filed under the name uncultured prokaryote. RNAcentral describes it as "bacterial SSU rRNA". It matches the Rfam family "Bacterial small subunit ribosomal RNA", at positions 355 to 774 of the family's 1533-position model. The record is from RNAcentral.